Salmo salar (Atlantic salmon) is the source of this 54-nucleotide non-coding RNA. NCBI's taxonomy places the organism in Eukaryota, Metazoa, Chordata, Actinopteri, Salmoniformes, Salmonidae. The record is from Rfam.
UGCUUGCACCUCUGUAAAUCGCUUUGGAUAAAAGUGUCUGCUAAAUGGCAUAUA